This is a long non-coding RNA of Cyprinus carpio carpio, 2249 nucleotides long. The record is from Ensembl. NCBI's taxonomy places the organism in Eukaryota, Metazoa, Chordata, Actinopteri, Cypriniformes, Cyprinidae.
ACCCAUUAUUACUCCAACCAUUAUUUUAAAUUGUAAUAAUAUUUGACAAUAGUACUGUUUUUUUUUUUUUUAUUAAAUACAUGCAGGCUUAAUGGGCAUAAAAUAUUUAUUUCAAAAACAUUACAAAUAGCAAUGCGUGUAAACUUUUGACCAGUACUGUAAAUAUUUAUAUCACAACAAAUUGUUGGUGAAAUACUUAAACACUAAUAAACAUUCUUUUUAUAUACAUGUAUUGCAUUUUUGUGUAAUUUUAUUAUUAUUAUUAUUAUUUUAGGUUACUGUUGUAUAACUUGGUUUCAAAGCUACAUCAGUGUGUAUUUCAGAUUAAUGAACCUGGACUCAGUGUCAUAAUUUACAUUGAAAUGUAUUGUCAAAACUUUAAUAACAAAACAAAAAGACCUUUAAAAUAAGAAUUUGUUUUCCUAGUCAUCUUUUAUUACGAAGUAGUUACUUAAGAAAAUAUAACUGUAACGGGUCACGUGACAGGUAUACCGCGGUAGGCGCGUAUAUCUGUGACGGGUCGAGUGACAGGCGCGUAUAUCUGUGACAGGUCGAGUGGCAGCUGCCCCUGCCACGCAAAGAUGUUACUCCCUCUCCAGAGUAGCUUACAAAACGUUUAUUAACAAAAACGAUAAGAUGAGACAUGGAAUAUGCCUACACUACAUGCUGUAUUAGGCUGCAUAGCCUAAUGACUAAUAAAUUACAGAACGUUUAGCAAGCAAUGAGGAAUCAAAUAAAAAUAAAAAAUAAAUAAAAGAGAGCCUCCAUAGCAUAACGUGAUGUAAACAGCAAAGAUAAGCUUUUCAAAAUGAAAUCAAAACAAAAAGAAAAGUAAAACUAAACUUGCUGUCGGUGACAGCUCUUGCAUGUUUUCCCCCCCACGAGAAUACCAACAUGUUCACCAUCUCUGGUUUAAGAAGCGGUCUUUUACUUUACUUUAGCGUGAAAACCAUCAGUAUUCGCGUCAUUUUUGCUGCGCGCACCUUCGCGCUCCUGCUGACGCCGCUCACUCGAUUUUGUUAUAGGCUAUUCUUUAAUUUUGUAGUCCGUAUGAAAAGGUUUAUUUCUAUUAAAGCCAGGUCCGUGGAGAUGGCGAAUCAGUGUCGGCAUUCGUCAACCUAAUCAUUGCACCCGACUCAGAAAGCACUUAUUAAUAAAUUAUUAAAAUGUCUUCUUUUCCCCUGAUACGUUCAUAAUCACUUUGCCGGUGUUUUGAGGCAAUUGCUUUAUGCGUGAGCUUGAGCGCGGAAUGCCUGUAGCCUAUUAAAGUAUGGUUAAUAUAUUAUUAUAUUAAUCAAUUUAAUAUAACGUGCGAAUAGUUGACUAGAAAAAUCUAUAGGGAAGGCCUAUUUAGCAGAAGGAAGCGCUCCAUUUUCUUUUCUUUUUUUAAAUAAAAUCCUAUAAUGACAUUACGAAAAGUGCGACAACUGAAAAUCACGUCGUUAUUGCACUUUACCAGUUAUACAUGCAUAAGGAGUCAAAUGUUUUUGUUGUUGUAGUAGUUUUUAUCACCCUGAUUAGAUUAUGAAGAAUUAUUUGUUGAUCUUGUUUUCCCUUUAAUAUACCUAAUACAUACCGCAAGAUAUUUUGAAAGUGACCCAUACUCAGAAUUCUUGCUCUGCAUUUAACCCAUCCAAAGUGCACACACACAGCAGUGAACACAGACACACACAACGUGAACACACACUCGGAGCAGUGGGCAGCCAUUUAUGCUGCGGCAGCCGGGGAGCAGUUGGGGGUUCGGUGCCUUGCUCAAAGGCACCUCAGUCAUGGUAUUGCCAGCCCGAGACUCAAACCCACAACCUUAGGGUUAGGAGUCAAACUCUCUAACCACUAGGCCAUGACUUUUUCAGUUACUUUCAAAAUGUGGUAGGGACAAUAUCUGCCAUACCCGUUGGAUGAACUGGAAUGUGUUCUUCAUAGAUUUAGGGUAGUUGAGAAGCAGUGUGUAUGCAAGUCCAUAAUGCAUAUAGCUUUUGGCAAGUCAUCAAUAUUGUCCAUCACAACUUCUCCUUCAAUGAUGAUCUUCAAUGAGGCUGGAUUGAGAUGGAGAGAAGAUGAGAGCCUUCUUGCUCAAUGAGGAGGAUUCCAAUGUCAUCAGAGUCCUAACAACAUUACAGCACAAUCAUGAAAUUUCUCAUUACAUAACCAUCAAUAAUGUUAAGCAAUUUGUUACGACUGCUGGAGUUCUGUCUUCACAAUGAUUAUUUAAAUUUUGGUAACAUGGACUUUUAAUGUAGGAACAGAAA